Molecule: ribosomal RNA, 1891 nt
Filed under: marine metagenome
Description: bacterial LSU rRNA
Rfam family: Bacterial large subunit ribosomal RNA
Source: RNAcentral
UCAAGCGUGAGGUAAGAGCAUUUGGUGAAUGCCUUGGCAUAUACAGGCGAUGAAGGACGUGGCACGCUGCGAUAAGCGUGGGGGAGCCGUGAGCAGGCUUUGAUCCCACGAUUUCCGAAUGGGGAAACCCAUCCUCACUAUUUAAUUUCGCUGCUGAGCAAUCAGUGUCGGAGUUAAAUAGGAAGGAUAUCACUUAGCUGAAUAAAAUAGGCUUAGUGAAGCGAACCCGGAGAACUGAAACAUCUCAGUACCCGGAGGAAAAGACAUCAACCGAGAUUCCGUUAGUAGUGGCGAGCGAACGCGGACCAGGCCAGUGCCUGGUGUUUAAUUAGCAAAAGCUUCUGGAAAGUAGCGCCAUAGUGGGUGACAGCCCCGUAUGCGAAAAUGAAACAUCAGGACUUGAGUAGGGCGGGACACGUGUAAUCCUGUCUGAAUAUAGGGGGACCACCCUCUAAGCCUAAAUACUCGUAUAUGACCGAUAGCGAACUAGUACCGUGAGGGAAAGGUGAAAAGCACCCCGAUGAGGGGAGUGAAACAGUACCUGAAACCGAAUGCUUACAAUCAGUUGGAGCCUCUUUAUGGGGUGACAGCGUACCUCUUGUAUAAUGGGUCUGUGACUUAAUGUAUCAUGCAAGCUUAAGCCGUUAGGUGUAGGCGUAGCGAAAGCGAGUCUGAAUAGGGCGACUGAGUAUGAUGCAUUAGACCCGAAACCCGGCGAUCUAUGCAUGACCAGGUUGAAGGUGCGGUAACACGCACUGGAGGACCGAACCGUUCAAUGUUGAAAAAUUGUCGGAUGAGUUGUGCUUAGGGGUGAAAGGCCAAUCAAGCCGGGAAAUAGCUGGUUCUCCGCGAAAACUAUUGAGGUAGUGCCUCGGAUGUUUUCCGAUGGGGGUAGAGCACUGGAUGGAUGCGGGGGUCGCGAGAUCUACCAAUUCUAACCAAACUCCGAAUACCAUCGAGUUAGUCCGGGAGACAGACGGCGGGUGCUAAGGUCCGUCGUCAAAAGGGAAACAGCCCUAACCUACAGCUAAGGUCCCCAAAUCAUAUCUAAGUGGUGAAGCAUGUGGGAUUUCCAAAACAACCAGGAGGUUGGCUUAGAAGCAGCCAUCCUUUAAAGAAAGCGUAACAGCUCACUGGUCUAAAUAAGAGAUCCUGCGGCGAAAAUGUAACGGGGCUAAAGAUAUGUACCGAAGCUUAGGGUGUGCAAUUUAUUGCAUGCGGUAGCGGAGCGUUCCGUAGGCCGAUGAAGCGAUCUGGUAAUGGGUCGUGGAGGUAUCGGAAGUGCGAAUGCAGACAUGAGUAGCGAUAGGAGGGUGAGACACCCUCCCGCCGAAAGACCAAGGGUUCCUGCUUAAAGCUAAUCUGAGCAGGGUAAGCCGGCCCCUAAGACGAGCCCGAAGGGGGUAGUCGAUGGGAACCACGUUAAUAUUCGUGGGCCUGGUGGUGUGUGACGGAUCUCGUGAGUUGUAUCUCCUUAUUGGAUUGGAGGUGCUUCGAAGAGGUUCCAGGAAAUAGCCCCACCGUAUAGACCGUACCCGAAACCGACACAGGUGGUCAGGUAGAGUAUACCAAGGCGUUUGAGAGAAGUAUCCUGAAGGAACUCGGCAAAUUGCCUCCGUACCUUCGGAAGAAGGAGGCCCUCACAUUGCGCAAGCAGUAUGAGGGGGCACAGGCCAGGGGGUAGCGACUGUUUAGCAAAAACACAGGACUCUGCUAAGUCGGCUUCAAGACGACGUAUAGGGUCUGACGCCUGCCCGGUGCUGGAAGGUUAAGAGGAGGAGUGCAAGCUCCGAAUUGAAGCCCCAGUAAACGGCGGCCGUAACUAUAACGGUCCUAAGGUAGCGAAAUUCCUUGUCGGGUAAGUUCCGACCUGCACGAAUGGCGUAACGAC